UACAGAGGUGGCAAGCGUUGUUCGGAAUUACUGGGCGUAAAGGGCGCGUAGGCGGCCUUCUAAGUCAGACGUGAAAUCCCCCGGCUUAACCUGGGAACUGCGUCUGAUACUGGACGGCUUGAGUAUGGGAGAGGGAUGUAGAAUUCCAGGUGUAGCGGUGAAAUGCGUAGAUAUCUGGAGGAACACCGGUGGCGAAGGCGGCAUUCUGGACCAUAACUGACACUGAGAGACGAAAGCCAGGGGAGCAAACGGG
Molecule: ribosomal RNA, 253 nt
Filed under: uncultured bacterium
Lineage: Bacteria
Description: partial 16S ribosomal RNA
Rfam family: Bacterial small subunit ribosomal RNA
Source: RNAcentral